AGUAGUCGGAAGAUAGAUGUGAUUUCAUUAAUAGGACAAAGAUUGCAAAGCCCAUUUCAAAAAGAGACCCAUCGCCUAAAAAGCAGUCUUAGCUAAAACAGAGACCUGCCCCAGCCUAUCUGGAAGGCCUAAGUCCACAAACAGUAAAAUCCUAGUAGAGGAUGGAUCCGUGCUUGAAACCCAUGACCCGGAUGGAGUGUAGCUCAUUGCACUGCAGAUGAAUCGGCUAGAGUAUGCCUGAGGGGAGACAAAUCUUAUCGAAGCGCCAAAGGGGACCAAGCAUGACUGAAUCGCCUAAUGAAGUGAGUCCCCAAGAAAACAGCAACCCAAGGAGACAUAAACGUCAAGCUAGAAAACCCAGCAGAGACCAAGAAGCACCGGCCAUUUUUAGCUGAAACAACAAAAGAGGUAGAGCUUAGCCAUCUCACUCUCACAUAGACUUGUAGGGAUUGGGAAGUCACAAGAACAACAUCACAACGUUCCUAAGGUAUCCAUCUUCAACAGAAAAAAAGAAGCGAAGCCAUCAUUAAACACACCAAGCAGGUCCAAGAAACCUUCUCCUUAAAGCUGAACACUUGCAAUCAAGACCAACAAAAGUGUAAUGCCCCUGCUCCAAUCACUAAAGGGAUUGUCCGCUUUGCCCCACCCUAUCCUGAACCUCGUGAUUUUAUCUCAUAGUUGGAAUGGAGAAAUUCUUAGGAGGUCAUCCAUCCUAGUAUUUCUGUCA
RNAcentral lists this unclassified non-coding RNA (727 nucleotides) under Hevea brasiliensis (rubber tree). The record is from RNAcentral. Lineage: Eukaryota; Viridiplantae; Streptophyta; Magnoliopsida; Malpighiales; Euphorbiaceae.